This 327-nucleotide ribosomal RNA is filed under the name uncultured eukaryote. Its description in RNAcentral is "partial 18S ribosomal RNA". It matches the Rfam family "Eukaryotic small subunit ribosomal RNA", at positions 1470 to 1796 of the family's 1831-position model. The record is from RNAcentral.
CCCUUAGAUGUUCUGGGCCGCACACGCGCUACACUGAAGGAGGCAGCGUGUACUCCUGGAUCGAAAGAUUUGGGUAACCCGCGAAUCUCCUUCGUGCUAGGGAUUGAGGUUUGCAAUUAUCCUUCAUGAACGAGGAAUUCCCAGUAAGUGCAAGUCAUAAGCUUGCCCUGACUACGUCCCUGCCCUUUGUACACACCGCCCGUCGCUACUACCGAUUGAAUGAUUUAGUGAGGACUUCGGACUGGGACCGAUGCGGCUUUCGGGCUGCGUCGGUAUUCUGGAAAGAUGUCCAAACUGUAUCAUUUAGAGGAAGUAAAAGUCGUAACA